This 2069-nucleotide long non-coding RNA is filed under the name Olea europaea subsp. europaea. The record is from RNAcentral. Lineage: Eukaryota; Viridiplantae; Streptophyta; Magnoliopsida; Lamiales; Oleaceae.
GAUGAAUUUAGUAAAGCAAAGCAGGUGGUUGGUCUAAGACCUCUGAAGGUUGAUCAUGGAUAGAAGAAGUUUGCUCAAUAGGACAAUCUAUAUUAGUGGUUAAUGGUUGAUCAAAAUUUUUUUCACUCAAGAUUGGUGAAGAUGGUUGAGUGGCAAUAUCUAAGGUUUUGCAAGGAAAGACGUUUUCAUGGAAAACAACAUUUCGUGAGAUAAAAACUUUGUUUGAAUCCAAAUCUAGCAAUCUGUAGCCCUUAAUCCCAAAAGGAUAACCUAAAAACACACAUCUCCUUUCUCUAGUAUCAAAUUUAUGUCGAUUGUGUGUGAGUGUAGAGGCAUAGGCUAAACAUCCAAAGAAUUUAAGGUGAGAGUAUGUAGGUUUAGCUUUGAAAAAGGAGUUCAAAAGGUGUUUUGUUUUUGAGGAGUGGAGAAGGAGUUCUAUUUAUGAGGUAGACUGCAGUAAGAACACAAUCAGACCAGUACUUCAUUGGAAUUCCACUCUGGAACAUUAAAGCCCUUGCAACGUUUAGGACAUGUUGAUGUUUUCUCUCAACUAUAGCAUUUUGUUGAGGGAUUUCUACACAAUAUUUUUGGUGGAUGAUAUCCUUUUCAGAGUAGAAAUGUUUCAUUUCGAAUUCACUUCCGUUAUCAGUCCUAAUUAUUUUAAUUUUGGAAUCGAACUGAUUUUCAAUCAUUGCAUAAAAUUUCUAUAAAACACUAGUAGCAUCUGAUUUAAACAGCAACAUUAACCAAGUACAUCUACUAAAAUAAUCUACAAUGCUAAGGAAAUAUCUCGACCCAUCAUAAGCCGUUUCAUUACAAGGUCCCCAUAAAUCACAAUGGACUAACUCAAAACAUUUCUGAGACCUAUGCUUACUAAUGGAGAAGGGCAACCUAUGCAUCUUUGCUAGAGGGCAGAUAGGACAAGGUGUUUUGGUAUUAGCUUCCUUAGGUAGAUGAUUAAAAUUUAAAAGAUCUAAUCUGGAAUCUGAAGGGUGUCUUAAUAUGUAGUGCCACAUAUUGGUGACUUCCUGGCUGUAGAUGACAGAAGCUGAUUUGGUGGAUUUCUUGGCUAGAAAAGGUAGAAAAUCAUCCAAGGCUGUAGAGGAGACUUUAUUCCGCAUUAGGUGGUAUAGGCCAUUUCUCACUUCACCCAUUCCAGUCGUCUUCCAAGUGGAAAGGUCCUGCACAAAACAAGUUUCAGGAAGAAAAAUGAGACAACAAUGUGAGGUUUGUGACAAUUUUCUAGUAGAUAUCAGAUUGAAAUAGAAGGAAGGUACACAUAGAACAUCAUAUGAGAUUAGCCUUUCACUUAAUUUAACUGUUCCAAUAUGAGUGACUCUAACAAAGUCCCCAUUUGGGAGAGCAACUGAGUGAUCGAUUUUUGCCUAGAUAGUGGUGAAGAAGGUUGGGGAACAGAUCAUAUGAUUAGUUGUCCCAGUGUCCACAAUCCAAGCAGUGUCAGAAACAUUUCUUGGUUUUGUGUUGCACACAGAAAAACAAAGAGAAAUACCAGAGAUCUAUAGAAUGUCAACAUCAUUUGUAGAGGAAGGUAUGCAAGUUUUCACUUGGUUGGCUGAGGAUGUGAAAAGCUGGUUGUUCUGUGGUUUGAGCAAAGCCAUCAGCUGAGCAUAUUGCUCUUGAGUUAAAGACAUUUGGGUGUUGCUAAUGAGCUACUCUUGGCUGGGUUGCCUAAGAGUGACUGCUUGAUUGGCAGAGGAUGAAAUGACUUUAGUUUUUCCAUAUAACAUGUGCCCUGGUGGAUAGCCAUGUAACUUGUAACAUUUAUCAGUUGUGUGACCAGGCACAUUACAGUAAUUACAUGUUGGUUUGUCUGAGUUGGCUUUGAAACAUCUCUCAAGGGAAUGCCCAAGCAUUUUGCAAAAAAGAAUAGUAGUACUUUUUCCGAUGCAUCAAAUUCUAUUUUCCUGCAUCUCUAGUAGUAGCCUUUGCCAUGAGGGCCAUAGUAUCAUUGACAGGAAUAUCCACAGAGAUUUCUCCUCUUUUCUUCUUGUUGAACAAUUGAAUAUACUUCAUUGAGGCUGGGAAAGGGCUUGAUCAGAAGGACUUGG